ACGCUCGACACCUACGGGAGGCAGCAGUGGGGAAUAUUGCACAAUGGGGGAAACCCUGAUGCAGCGAUGCCGCGUGAAGGAAGAAGUAUCUCGGUAUGUAAACUUCUAUCAGCAGGGAAGAAAAUGACGGUACCUGACUAAGAAGCCCCGGCUAACUACGUGCCAGUAGCCGCGGUAAUCUGAGCGGGCUGGCAAGGC
This 198-nucleotide ribosomal RNA is filed under the name uncultured bacterium. RNAcentral's name for it is "partial 16S ribosomal RNA". It matches the Rfam family "Bacterial small subunit ribosomal RNA", at positions 328 to 539 of the family's 1533-position model. The record is from RNAcentral.